RNAcentral lists this long non-coding RNA (4300 nucleotides) under Lupinus angustifolius (narrow-leaved blue lupine). RNAcentral describes it as "long non-coding RNA (LANG_LNC000579)". Lineage: Eukaryota; Viridiplantae; Streptophyta; Magnoliopsida; Fabales; Fabaceae. The record is from RNAcentral.
GGUUUCCACACAUGAGAACAUGUUCUCAUUUCAAGAGGGUACUAUACAUAACCGAAAUGGCAACAACACCGGUCAUUCGAACACCUCUGCUGGGAGCUCAAGAACUGUGUUUACCCGUGUCUGGCCGACACAAGUGAUCCCACCAAAGCCACUGGAGUCCAUAACUGGCAACAAUAGCCGCCCAGUGCUAUCAUUCAUGCAACAACCAAGGGCAGAAGACUAUUACUCCAUGCCUAAUACUAGUAACCUCUUAGAGCUAUCUCUUAUGCCUCAACAACUAAUGCCAACAUACUCCAUGCCUCUCAUCAAUGAGUCAGUGCUAUCUCUUGCAUCUCAUCAUAGGCCAGAAGACUACAUUUCUAUCAAGCCUACCAUUAACCUCACAGGCCAAUCUCAUGUGCCAGAACACUCUAUGUACUCUGGUAUUAAUAGUCACUCAGGUUUAUCUCUUAUGCCUCAUCUAGAGCUCGGAGGGUCCUCUAAUCCUAGAAACAGCGUCUCCGGGAAAUCUGUUUUUUCGUCACAAGAUGCAAUGCUCUCAAAUUGGGAUCAACCAGACACCUUGUUUGGUUUAGGCACCCCAUAUGAACAUGGGGACUUUGACGCCUUGAUGAGUGGUUCAAGUUCAACACAAUAUUUUAACAAUACUCCUUACCCAAUUGAGGCAAGUUAUGAACAAGUGCUGCAACAUGCCCCAUCAUCAUACACUCCACCACCAACCUUUUUUGACAGUCCAAUGCAUCUCAUUCGUGAGCCGAACCAGCAGAGCCUAUUUCAUCAGCCAGAACCAGAGAUAUCAUUAGAUCAUGGAAUGCCCUUGGGCAGUGCAUUGAAUUACAAUGAAGAAGGUGCUGCUCUUGUAGACCAGCCACAAGAGGUUACUCGCAAGCUUCUUCCGGACUGAUCAGCAGACUGAUUUGGCUCGUAAGCUCGAAGAUUGUUAGAUAAUUGCAAACUGAAAGACUAAUGGUUUCUGUAAAACUUAUAUAUUUCUGCAUCUUGGAGUCUGAAUUUGAUAAGUUAGUUAGAAUAAUCUCUAUGAUGGUUGAGUUUGGAACUAUUUCUGUUUGCUUAGGCAAAACUAGAACAAAUUACUUCUUUAAAUUUGCUCAACUGUGCCAUCUAAUGCUACAAGCUUAGAACAUAUUGGAUGGAAUAAAUGGAGGUUUUAUAUGUAUGCUAUAUUUAACAUUGAAAUUUCAUGGAUGCCCACACUAGCGAUUGGAUGAGAUUUUCUUUUUCCUUGGCAAAGUUAUUGUUUGACUGGACUAGAGAGGCAUAACAGCACAAGUGAGACAUCACGUCUUAAACCAAAACUUUAGCCAUCAGUUUCAUGAGUUUUUCCCACUUAUAAAACUUUUUCAUUCAUCUCCUUAUAUCCAAUGUGAAACUUCACACUUGAAUAAAUCCAAAGUUAUCCUCCACAAGAGGAGAAGAUCUUGUUCUAGCUCAAGACAUCCAUAGUGAAACUAACUCUUUUAGUAAGAUUUUUCCAUACACAAGACUUAGCCUUAGAUCCUUACUUGAGGUGAUUCAUAUACCACUUCAACCAACCAUCAGUUCAGUUGAUGAUUUGGAUGAGAUUCAAAGGCUACCCCAUUAAUAUAUAUCAGACCAUGGAUUCUCUAGAAUUUGAAUCCUCUUAUGUUUUUGAAUAAUGGAAUUAGAUUGAAGAUAUUCCCUUUAUUGAAUACCCCUUUAGCUUGGCCUGAAGAAAAUAUCAGAACAUAUAUCCCUUUAUUGAACAUCAACUGAAGAUCACCGUGUUAUAUGUCACCCUUUCUCUCAAUAUUAUAUGGGAGAUGAAGGUGCCAAGAAGAUAAAAAGGAUGUCGGAUAUGGAAAAAUUCCUUCUCACCAAAUGUUGAGAGAAAGUUGAGUAAAAAUAGUUGAAUUGUAUGACAUGAUCAAUAUGAUCUUUGAAAACUGUUAAUUUUUUGUGGAUAUUCUUUUUUAUUUUAAAAGAGAGAAAGAAGAAAAAAUUAAUUUCUUUUUCCUUUCACUCAUAUUAAACAAUAUAAAAAUUCACAAUUUUUCUCACCUCUUUCUCUUAAUAAUCGCUCACGUGUUUCUUUCUUCUAAAUUUCUUUCCUCAACCAAACAAAUUAUUAAGGUUUUGAUUCAAAAUAUGGUAUCUCACUUAUAACUCUUUACCAUUCUCAAAUCUGAUAACAAUGUGACUCAAUUAUUGUUGAAGAUUCAUCGGUCAUAGAUAAGUCCAACAAGUACUAUCAUAGCCAAUUAUUGGAUGGAGACAUAAUUCAAAUUAAAGAAAAAGGAAAUCAAGAAGAAGCAUAAUUCUUUUGUUGAAGAAGAAAUCUAAGAAAGUGAAUAAAAGAAUGAAGAACAAAAGAUUAAGAGAAUGGAAAUUACAUGAAUACUUUUAUUAGAAUUGAAUUGAAUUCAAUACAAACUUGAUUCUUCUAAUUUAUAGCUAGAAAAAUCCUUAACAACUUAACUAACAAACCAAGUAACAUAACUAACACAUUUUGCACGUGUUAAAUAUGACAAAAUACAUAAAUCAAAUGAUGACUUGGGCUGCAAGUAAUAGAAAGCCCAUUGAUCUUAUGCCUUGAAUUAUGACCGCAGUGUUUAGUUGAUGUUUGGCCUAGACCUUGACUAGGUGUGUGACCUCAUGCGUGUGUGACUCAUGUGUGACCUUGGCAUGAGAUAUGUCUUGAAUUGUCUGAUUCAUGUGUGAGCCUUUAAAAAACACAAUUAUCAAAAAGAGGAUGAACUAGUGAAAAUUCUCUUUGUAGUCCAUAAAUUUGAAAAUAAGAUAAAAGGAUUUCAUCUCAUCCCAAGAAUAAUGAAACCAAAUCCAAAUUUUACUUGUGCCCAGUUUCACAUUGCAUAUAGGCGUUUGUUUUAUUUUUUACCACUUUACUAAGUAUCUCAAUUUCUGGUAGUAAACUAUGAACACUUACUAUUGGUAAUGCAUAUUGGCAUUGCAGUUGAUCGCAGACGCCAGUAACUAUCGAGCUAGCCUGCUGCGGUUCGUAGAAGAUUUAGGACCAGUUGCUAAAAGGGUUGCAGCACAAAAGCUACAAUCCUUAAACCUCAUUGAUAAUGUUCCAGGCACUGAGAUCCUUCACCCAACUGCUUCUCCACAUUCACCAACAAAGUUGGACACUCCCAACAAUACUGAAGGGCUUCCUCUUGCUCUUUCCUUAGCCAAUAAUACUCCGAAAAUUCUUCAUGCUUCGGCUGAUCAUGAAAACAGAAAUGAUAACAACACCAUUGCUGUUGGUGUUAACAUUAAUGAUGGUGCAGAUAAUAGCUGGAGUGCUCGUGCCGCUGCCAUUUUGGGCAACAUCUUUAUUAACAAUGACAAAGGGAAAAGUCUCUAUGGGUAUGAGAAUUCUAAUGCAGUAGGAACCAUGGGCAAUUGGGGUCCUUCCAAGGGCAAAAUGGUUUCCACACAUGAGAACAUGUUCUCAUUUCAAGAGGGUACUAUACAUAACCGAAAUGGCAACAACACCGGUCAUUCGAACACCUCUGCUGGGAGCUCAAGAACUGUGUUUACCCGUGUCUGGCCGACACAAGUGAUCCCACCAAAGCCACUGGAGUCCAUAACUGGCAACAAUAGCCGCCCAGUGCUAUCAUUCAUGCAACAACCAAGGGCAGAAGACUAUUACUCCAUGCCUAAUACUAGUAACCUCUUAGAGCUAUCUCUUAUGCCUCAACAACUAAUGCCAACAUACUCCAUGCCUCUCAUCAAUGAGUCAGUGCUAUCUCUUGCAUCUCAUCAUAGGCCAGAAGACUACAUUUCUAUCAAGCCUACCAUUAACCUCACAGGCCAAUCUCAUGUGCCAGAACACUCUAUGUACUCUGGUAUUAAUAGUCACUCAGGUUUAUCUCUUAUGCCUCAUCUAGAGCUCGGAGGGUCCUCUAAUCCUAGAAACAGCGUCUCCGGGAAAUCUGUUUUUUCGUCACAAGAUGCAAUGCUCUCAAAUUGGGAUCAACCAGACACCUUGUUUGGUUUAGGCACCCCAUAUGAACAUGGGGACUUUGACGCCUUGAUGAGUGGUUCAAGUUCAACACAAUAUUUUAACAAUACUCCUUACCCAAUUGAGGCAAGUUAUGAACAAGUGCUGCAACAUGCCCCAUCAUCAUACACUCCACCACCAACCUUUUUUGACAGUCCAAUGCAUCUCAUUCGUGAGCCGAACCAGCAGAGCCUAUUUCAUCAGCCAGAACCAGAGAUAUCAUUAGAUCAUGGAAUGCCCUUGGGCAGUGCAUUGAAUUACAAUGAAGAAGGUGCUGCUCUUGUAGACCAGCCACAAGAGGUUACUCGCAAG